UGGGGAAUAUUGCACAAUGGGCGAAAGCCUGAUGCAGCAACGCCGCGUGAGUGAUGAAGGCCUUCGGGUUGUAAAGCUCUGUCUUUUGGGACGAUAAUGACGGUACCAAAGGAGGAAGCCACGGCUAACUACGUGCCAGCAGCCGCGGUAAUACGGUAGGUGGCAAGCGUUGUCCGGAUUUACUGGGCGUAAAGGAUGCGUAGGCGGAUUUUUAAGUGAGAUGUGAAAACCCUAAGCUUAACUUUGGGGGACUGCAUUUCAUACUGGAAAUCUAGAGUGCGGGAGAGGAGAAUGGAAUUCCUAGUGUAGCGGUGAAAUGCGUAGAGAUUAGGAAGAACACCAGUGGCGAAGGCGAUUCUCUGGACCGUAACUGACGCUGAGGCAUGAAAGCGUGGGUAGCAAACAGGAUUAGAUACCCUGGUAGUCCCACGCCGUAAACGAUGAGUACUAGGUGUAGGAGG
This 461-nucleotide ribosomal RNA is filed under the name uncultured bacterium. RNAcentral describes it as "partial 16S ribosomal RNA". It matches the Rfam family "Bacterial small subunit ribosomal RNA", at positions 355 to 829 of the family's 1533-position model. The record is from RNAcentral.